Molecule: ribosomal RNA, 520 nt
Filed under: uncultured Glomus
Lineage: Eukaryota; Fungi; Glomeromycota; Glomeromycetes; Glomerales; Glomeraceae
Description: SSU rRNA
Rfam family: Eukaryotic small subunit ribosomal RNA
Source: RNAcentral
AGCAGCCGCGGUAAUUCCAGCUCCAAUAGCGUAUAUUAAAGUUGUUGCAGUUAAAAAGCUCGUAGUUGAAUUUCGGGAUCAGUACGUUGGUCGUGCCUUCGGUACGUACUGGCGUUACUGGUUCCUACCUUCUGAGGAACCGUCAUGUCAUUAAUUUGGUGUGGUGGGAAAUCAGGACUGUUACUUUGAAAAAAUUAGAGUAGUUUAAAGCAGGCUCGCGCUUGAAUACAUUAGCAUGGAAUAAUGAAAUAGGACGUUCGAUCCUAUUUUGUUGGUUUCUAGGAUUGACGUAAUGAUUAAUAGGGAUAGUUGGGGGCAUUAGUAUUCAAUUGUCAGAGGUGAAAUUCUUGGAUUUAUUGAAGACUAACUACUGCGAAAGCAUUUGCCAAGGAUGUUUUCAUUAAUCAAGAACGAAAGUUAGGGGAUCGAAGACGAUCAGAUACCGUCGUAGUCUUAACCAUAAACUAUGCCGACUAGGGAUCGGAUGAUGUUAUUUUUAAUGACUCAUUCGGCGCCUUAC